GUUUGGAAACUUUGUUUCGUGCGCUUCGAUGGCUCAGAUUUGUGCGCCAUGAGAGGAAAUCUGGGAUUCAUAGCCAAGGAUUGUUCCACGAAAUUGUUUAAUGCUAACAAAAAUGCCGAUCGUUCAUCAAGGACUUCUUCACGGGGACAAAUUUAAAUUUAUUUCGCCAUUCCACAAUUACACCGAUGCACUUCCGCGAAGGACAAACUAAAGAAGUUCGAUCAACGGUGUUAAAUUGUCCUGUAUCUGUUCCUAUCUGCAACAGGAACAAAAUUAUAACCCAACUAAAACUCAA
Non-coding RNA from Megalopta genalis, 295 nucleotides. Lineage: Eukaryota; Metazoa; Arthropoda; Insecta; Hymenoptera; Halictidae. The record is from RefSeq and is a predicted model, not a curated record.